GACGAACGCUGGCGGCGUGCUUAACACAUGCAAGUCGAACGGAAAGGCCCUGCUUUUGUGGGGUGCUCGAGUGGCGAACGGGUGAGUAACACGUGAGUAACCUGCCCUUGACUUUGGGAUAACUUCAGGAAACUGGGGCUAAUACCGGAUAGGAGCUCCUGCUGCAUGGUGGGGGUUGGAAAGUCUCGGCGGUCGGGGAUGGACUCGCGGCUUAUCAGCUUGUUGGUGGGGUAGUGGCUUACCAAGGCUUUGACGGGUAGCCGGCCUGAGAGGGUGACCGGCGACAUUGGGACUGAGAUACGGCCCAGACUCCUACGGGAGGCAGCAGUGGGGAAUAUUGCACAAUGGGCGGAAGCCUGAUGCAGCAACGCCGCGUGCGGGAUGACGGCCUUCGGGUUGUAAACCGCUUUCGCCUGUGACGAAGCGUGAGUGACGGUAAUGGGUAAAGAAGCACCGGCUAACUACGUG
This 468-nucleotide ribosomal RNA is filed under the name uncultured bacterium. RNAcentral's name for it is "partial 16S ribosomal RNA". It matches the Rfam family "Bacterial small subunit ribosomal RNA", at positions 28 to 507 of the family's 1533-position model. The record is from RNAcentral.